RNAcentral lists this unclassified non-coding RNA (5199 nucleotides) under Polistes dominula (European paper wasp). RNAcentral describes it as "phosphatidylinositol-binding clathrin assembly protein LAP, transcript variant X15". Lineage: Eukaryota; Metazoa; Arthropoda; Insecta; Hymenoptera; Vespidae. The record is from RNAcentral.
GGGCGGUAUGAAGUGUUGGGGAGGGGGGCAUAGAAUAGUAAGGUCGCCAUCUUAAAGCAAUUCGCGAUAGCCUUUCGUCGCCGGUGCGAAGCCGAGCCGUUGUCGUCGUCGUUCUUGUCGUGAUUGUGUGUCGUUUUCGUCGUUUUUGUCGUCGGGUUAAAAGCUGAGCCGUAUUAGCCUGGCGAGCGUGUUAAACGCGAGCGCGAGCUCGUACGGCUCCGGUAGGUGAUCAAAAACGAGAUCGAUAAAGAGUUGAAAGAGGAAAUUUAGUGGCAGUGCGCUGCGAGAAUGAUACAUGCUGUUUGAGAGAGAGUAACCACAGAAGGAAAGGACGAACCUCACACUUGCUGACAAAUCCAUUCGGUUUUGAAGAAUCAUCGACGUAGGGGAAGAAGACAGACAGGAAGGAAGGAAAGCAAAGGUAAAAAGAAAGAAAGAAAGUGACAGGAAGGACGACAGUAUGGCGGGACAAACGAUAAACGAUAGACUACUGGCUGCCAGACACAGCAUCGCUGGCCAAGGGCUCGCCAAAUCCGUCUGCAAAGCUACCACUGAGGAGAUGAUAGGACCAAAGAAAAAGCAUCUUGAUUAUCUCAUUCACUGUACAAAUGAGCCAAACGUGUCGAUACCACAACUCGCUAAUCUUUUGAUAGAACGAUCGCAAAACACGAACUGGACGGUCGUUUUUAAAGCACUCAUAACGGUACACCAUAUGCUUUGCUAUGGCAACGAGAGGUUUACACAAUAUCUGGCAUCGAGCAACAGCACUUUUCAGCUCAGCAAUUUCCUCGAUAAAAGCGGAGUACAAGCAGGAGCUCGCGUCGGUUACGAUAUGUCACCUUUUAUCAGACGAUAUGCCAAAUACUUGAACGAGAAGGCUCUUUCAUACAGGACGGUGGCAUUUGAUUUUUGUAAAGUUAAAAGAGGAAAAGAAGAUGGCACAUUACGUACCAUAAACGCAGAAAAAUUACUAAAAACAUUGCCAGUUCUACAAGCGCAAUUAGACGCCCUUUUGGAAUUUGAUUGUACAGCAAACGAUCUUACCAAUGGAGUUAUUAACAACGCAUUUAUGCUUCUAUUCCGAGAUCUCAUACGUUUGUUUGCCUGUUACAAUGAUGGGAUUAUUAAUCUUUUAGAGAAAUAUUUCGACAUGAACAAAAAACAAUGUCGAGAUGCUUUGGAACUGUAUAAAAAGUUCCUCAUAAGAAUGGACAGAGUCGGCGACUUUUUAAAAGUAGCAGAGGAUGUUGGUAUCGACAAAGGUGAUAUUCCGGAUUUAACAAAGGCACCAAGUAGUUUGUUAGAUGCAUUAGAACAGCAUCUUGCGUCAUUAGAAGGGAAAAAGGGUUCCGCUGCAAAUACGCCAACGCAAUCAGCAAGCAAUAGAACGAAUAUAAAGUCGGGAGUGUCCGCCCUGUCUUCCACCAGUACCGCAUUUGGAACGGCAGCUAGUAACGCACGGCUUGAUCAUACUGGAAAUGGACACAUCGAUGAAGCAUUAAGGCAACAAGCUCUUGCGGAAGAGGAAGCAGCUAUGAAUCAAUACAAGGCUAAAGUACAGUCGCCCUCGGGUGGUCCAAGUACAAACCCUUUUUUGAGUUCUCCUACCAACAAUGCCCAUCAGCCAAUAGUUGAUUUAUUCGGUUCAGCACCAUCAGCUGAUAAUCAGCCUCAAAAAGCGUCCGACGAUUUGCUACAACUGGCAGGAAAUCCUUUUGCAGAUAUGUUUGGUGCACCCCAACAAGUCCAACAAACACAGCCUGCACAAGUACAAAAUAAUAUGUGGAUGACCAACGGUAAUGGUUUUGCAGCGACACCAGCAAAUAAUAACUUUGUUACAGAUAAUAGCUUUUCCUCCGUAUUUGGAAAUCAGGAUCAACAGUCAACUGGUGCCCCAGGAAUUACCACCGGAUCCGUACCUAAUCCUUUCAUGUCCGACUUCCCAACCGCCGCUUCCCAAGCUAGCAAUGCAGCCGCUGCUCUAGGGCUGUUCGAUCAAAGCAGCAGCGGCGUUACUGCCGGCGGUAACGUUGCCGAAGCUCAAGUAGCAGCAGCAGCAACAGCAGCAGCAGCAGCGGCGGCAUCACAAAGCGGCGGAGACCUCUUCAGUGCCGGCGGUCAGGCAGAUCUCUUUGGGGGCGACUCUGCAAUGCUCAAGGCCGCAGAUGGGAGCUCUGGGGACGUCGCGUCCGACGGUGCACAAGCACCGUCGGCCGUUGCGCCCUCGACUGCUCUUACCUCUGGCAAGUCCACUGCCACGCCGCCUCCCAGACCACCGCCUCCCGCGACAGCAGCUUCCAAUGGUACACCACGUGCAUUGUCUCCAGCUGUUAGCGGAGCAUCACCUGGUAGGCCAGCCUCGGGGCCUGCUUCGACUGCCGGCAGUGCAGCCCCGAGCAAGAGUGCAUUUGAUGAUCUAAAUGACAGUAUUCGCAUGGCACUGGGUGGCUCUCCGUCGCGACCGGCACCCCUUGCUCAGCACGCUCCUCCCACGCAACAACAACAGCAACAACAACAACAACAACAACAGCAACAACAACUGCCAUCGCAACAACCCGUUCAACAGGGCUUCGCCAUGUUCGACAUGGGAAGUAAUGUCGGGGCGGCCACUAGCCACAUCAUGAUGGCUGGUGGCCAAAUGGCUUCUUACGGAGUUCCUUCGUCGUCUUCUCAAGUACCCCCUGUCGGCUUUGGUUCUCCGGCUAAGCAGCCAAUGUCAGCAGGUGGACAGCCGGCAAAUGCAACAGCAGUCAGUGGUAAAGUCCUAACUGGAGAUCUAGAUAGUAGCCUUGCCAGUUUAGCACAGAAUUUGACGAUUAAUAAAAGUACUCAGCCACAAGUUAAGGGAAUGCAAUGGAAUUCUCCUAAAAAUACGGCUAAAACUGGAGGUCCCGCUGGAUGGACACCACAACCGAUGGCAGCAACCACAGGGGCUGGAUAUCGUCCUAUGGGUCAAGGAAUGACGCAACUUCCUCCUGCAACCACGUUGGCCUUUUCCCCACAGACAACUCCAAUGGGUAUGCAAGGUAUGCCAAUGGGCAUGCAAGGUAUGCAAAGUAUGAGGCCGAUGAUGGGUGCAAUGCCAGGGCCUACUACUGGAGGUGGUGGUAUGAUAGUUGCGGGUGGAGCUGCACCAAUGAUGAUGCCUAAUGCAAAUCCUAUGAUGGGUGCUAAUCUUCAACAGCAACAGCAGCAACAGCAGCAACAGCAACAGCAGCAGCAGCAUCCACAACCUGCUGCUCAGCCACAAGGCAAUGCUGUUCAACUAGAUCCUUUUGGUGCUCUAUGAAGAGACUAGGAUUUCAAAUGGAAUGAUAAAAAGGAAGAUUUUGUAAAUACUGUGUAAUAUGCUUAGAAAAUAUGCCCUUUUGAUUGAUAUCGAUCUAGGUUCGAAAUGUUCUAACCGUUGUUGAUAUCGACCUUUGAACUUCGUUAAAAAGCAGACGCUGUUCGUCUCUCUCACUGUGAAUAUGGUCAAUACUUCUAUCAUUAUUAUUCUCGCGCGAUCAUUCGAUCUUGAGGAUCUGCUACUUGUAUGUUACAAUUUGCCUUUUGAAAUAUUGUGUUGUUUAUUAAAUGUCAUUUCAAAUUGUAAAUCAAGAUGUGCUGUGUUCUCAAGAUGAUAAUAAUAAUAAUCGAGAAUCUUUGUUAUUAUAUAACAAAUUACCGUUUAGAAUCGCACAAACGUGCAUACGUAUAUGUGCUGAUGUUGCUACUAUUCCUACACUUGGAUUUGCUGUUUUUACAUAUUUAUGCAAUUGUCGAAAGAACAAGGAUAACAAUAGCUCUGCGAGUGUGUAUUUCGAAAAAGCUUUGUAAUAAUUUAUUAUAAUCGUGCUAAAUGAAAAGACUCGGAUAGAAAGGUAUGAAUUAUAGUUAAGUAAAUUCAGGUGGAGCUUAGUGUGAUUCUAAACGUUUAGGAUGAUUAGAUUAGGUAUAUACAAUUAGCUGUUUGCGUGUAUAUCGGUAUCUAUUUUACGAUAAAUCAUAAAAAAAGAAUUAGGAAAAAAGCAUGUAAAAUUCUCGUUACAAAAGAGAUAUUUAAAUAGUAGUUUACAUUGGGCAUCGAUCUAGCGUAUUUGUAUUUAUCAUAUAUUAUAUAUAUUAUUCCUUUUUUUAAAUUGUCUUAUUUUUUUUAGAAAUCAUUGGUUUUGGUCCAAGUGGAGAAGUUCACAGUUAUCCUAUGUUGAAGUAUUAAAUAAUAUAAUAAUAACGAUUAAUGUGUGAACUAAAAAAUAUUAUAAUUAAUUUAGAAAUAAUGAUAAUAAUUACGUUAUUUUGAGAUAUCAGGUGACGCAAAUAUGCAUAUAUAUACGUAUGUGCAUGGGUAGGAAAAAAAAUAGUAAUAAUUAAACAAAAACUAUUAUAUGUAUAUAUGCGUAUAGGAAAACCAUAAUUCCAUGGAGUUUUCGAGACAAUUAAUGAUGAGAACGAAGAAACGAAUAUAUAUUGGGAUAUUUAAGAAGACAUAAAGAAUGAAAGUAAAAAUAAGGUUAUACAUACGAUGCUCGUAAACAAAAAUUAUAGAUGUACCCAGAAUCAGCGAUGAUUUAGUAUUAUAUACUAUUAUAUAUAUAUAUAAUACAUGCAUAUAAAGAUAUAUCUAAAUAUAUAAAUAGUAGAUAAAAAUACUGUUACAAAAGGUCUAAUUAAUAAUUUGCUCCGCGUACGCAGUUGACUGUGUAGAGAUGAAUAUUUAAAUUAAUAAUAAGUGUAUGUUGAUUGGAAAUACAUCAAAAUAUUUUUCAUAAUUUUGUUAAUAUCAUUAAUUCCUUAAUAAUUAAUUUAAAUUAUUAUUCGAAUGUAUUGGUCAAAAUUCAGACAUUAAAUUGCAUACGCCGAGUAAAUGUUCUAUAUAUUAUGUAAAAAGAAGUUGCCGUGUACAGUGAUAGAGAGUAAUAAGAAAAGUAAUAGUGUUUUUUUGAGAGACGAAGAUUGAAGCAGCGUACACACUAAAGUACUAGUCUAUCUUUAUGCAAAAGAUUUCUCAAAAACAGUACAAUGGUUAUUGCAACUUUGGAAGAAGACCAAAAUUAUUUGUCAACAGAUAAUGAUUAUUAUUAUUAUUGUUAUUAUUAUGAUAAUAAAAUGUUUAGCUGAUAGAUACAUGGCAGGUUCUGGCUUGGCUUAUUACUGAAUUUAUUAGAAAUUUUCAUUCAAAUAAAGCAAGAAAGAAAAUGAAUGAAAAGAAGCAAAAAA